AUAUUGUUUUGUGGAACAAAGCCCACUAAUCGUAACAUAAAGCCUAAACAGCCCAUAAUUAAGGAACCUAAUUGAACCACCAAUUAUUAGUAUUUGUCGUUGGAACCACUAAUUGAACACGAUGAAGAAAGAAGCGAAGCUCUUCGAAGUAGAGAAUAACGUAAUACCCAGAUUCGGACAAGAUCAAGGAAAGAGAUUGGAUUUCGAUUGAAGUUAUGGAUUCCGACGAAUCUUGUCGUAUUCAAUUCUUUAAUUUCUUCUCCAUAGCUUAUCGCAUUCAACAGAUUCAAAAUGGACUUUGAGUCUCAACAUACAAUAGAAAUGCUCAAUGCCCAGAGUGAAUAUAUUGAUAUGAAUGAGGAAGAUGUUCAUGAUGAAGAUAUUGAGAUGAAUGAAAAAGAAACAGAAAUCAAAGAACCAGAGCAAAGUGACACUCAUCAAGCUCCACGAAAGAGAUGUUUAACUUUAUGGUCUAUGAUCUAAGAGCAUGUUUAUCCAUAAACCCAAAUGAGUAUCAUUAGCAUUUUUUAGUAUUAAUUUAAUUAGUUGUUUAAUCUAUGAUACUCAAUAAGAUUUUUGUUAAAUUUGUAUGUUUAAUGGUGAAA
Long non-coding RNA from Arabidopsis lyrata subsp. lyrata, 605 nucleotides. RefSeq lists it as uncharacterized. The record is from RefSeq and is a predicted model, not a curated record. The transcript has 2 exons. NCBI's taxonomy places the organism in Eukaryota, Viridiplantae, Streptophyta, Magnoliopsida, Brassicales, Brassicaceae.